This is a long non-coding RNA of Paramacrobiotus metropolitanus, 1011 nucleotides long. RefSeq lists it as uncharacterized. The record is from RefSeq and is a predicted model, not a curated record. The transcript has 3 exons. Lineage: Eukaryota; Metazoa; Tardigrada; Eutardigrada; Parachela; Macrobiotidae.
AACACGACGGGAGCACUGUAUGUUUACGAUAGAGCCCGAUGGAGGCACCCUUUGCUUGUAACCGCCAUCCUGGCGAUUGUGCCUACGGUCUGUCGCCCACGUUAGCUUUCACCAGAGAAAUAUGCUCGCUCGAAAUUUCAACUUUGAAAUUCAUCUUCGCAUUUCAACUGGUGAUCAAACUGGAAAAUGUUUAUUUUUUUGUUUGGCUCUCUCGUUCUCGACGUCAUCGUCCACAAAUCUGAAUUCUAAUUAACGGAACAGAAGAAGCACCUUAUACUUUUCCUGAAGUUUUUGCGAUAUCGCAGUGAAAUGGUUACGAGUAGAGUUCUUCGCGCUUGUGCUAAUAAACACUGGAGAAAGCUGCUAUCGGACAGCUUAUUUGCUCAUCAGCUUAUGCGAAGAACUUGUACUGUGUGGCAGCGCUUAUAACAGUCCAGAAAGUUUGCCAGCAACAUCCGCUCCUAAUAAAAAGAAAUGUUCUGGCCAAAUGAGACGAUAUCGUCCAUAUCCAGCCAGUACGGUGCGCGAAAGGUUCAACACGAAGAAGGGAGAGGAUCGUGUUCGUUCCAGAUUUCCACUCGCAAAACAGCCCAAGAAAAGAGGCUGAGCAGGGGAUGAUCGACUCUGGCCGUCAAAUGACUUUCCCGAUAUCAGGAAACAUGAGCCUUUGGAUACAACUGAGCACUGACGAAAUCGUCGCGGAUACAGAGAUUGCCCAAUGCCCAUGGAUCACUGGACAGCUACGGUUACAACAUUUUUGCGGCGAUUUAUGGAGUACGGAUUAAUUGACAAUAUUGUCUGGGCCUCUCAAAGCACUCAAGCUCCUGUCUGGAUACUCUCACAAGAUGUUUCUAGGUUUUAUUUUUGCAGUCAAGUGAAUUUACUGUGGUACAAUCUGCUAAUUUGUGUCUUCUGUAGUUCAAUUGUGUAAUUUUAACUAGCGCACUUUAACUUUUUAUUUUGUCAUUAACAAAAGCCGUGGUGUAACGAUAUCGCAAUAAAAUCUGUCCG